CCCAAAGGACCUGGCGGUGCCUCAUACCCACCUAGAGGAGCCUGUUCUUGAAUCGAUAAUCCCCGUUCAACCUCACCACCCCUUGUUCAACCCGCCUAUAUACCGCCGUCGUCAGCUCACCCUGUGAAGGUCUUAAAGUGAGCAAAAUGGGCACAACCCAAAACGUCAGGUCAAGGUGCAGCGUAUGCGGUGGGAAGAAAUGGGCUACAUUACCUACCCCAGGUCAUCACGGAAAGGGUUGUGAAACCAGCCCUGGAAGGUGGAUUUAGCAGUAAGAAGAAAAUAGAGAGUUCUUCUGAAGCCGGCUCUGAGGCGCGCACACACCGC
Molecule: ribosomal RNA, 327 nt
Filed under: Protosalanx chinensis
Lineage: Eukaryota; Metazoa; Chordata; Actinopteri; Osmeriformes; Salangidae
Description: partial 12S ribosomal RNA
Rfam family: Microsporidia small subunit ribosomal RNA
Source: RNAcentral